UGGGGAAUAUUGGACAAUGGGCGAAAGCCUGAUCCAGCCAUGCCGCGUGUGUGAAGAAGGUCUUCGGAUUGUAAAGCACUUUAAGUUGGGAGGAAGGGUUGUAGAUUAAUACUCUGCAAUUUUGACGUUACCGACAGAAUAAGCACCGGCUAACUCUGUGCCAGCAGCCGCGGUAAUACAGAGGGUGCAAGCGUUAAUCGGAAUUACUGGGCGUAAAGCGCGCGUAGGUGGUUUGUUAAGUUGGAUGUGAAAGCCCCGGGCUCAACCUGGGAACUGCAUCCAAAACUGGCAAGCUAGAGUACGGUAGAGGGUGGUGUAAUUUCCUGUGUAGCGGUGAAAUGCGUAGAUAUAGGAAGGAACACCAGUGGCGAAGGCGACCACCUGGACUGAUACUGACACUGAGGUGCGAAAGCGUGGGGAGCAAACA
Molecule: ribosomal RNA, 427 nt
Filed under: uncultured bacterium
Lineage: Bacteria
Description: partial 16S ribosomal RNA
Rfam family: Bacterial small subunit ribosomal RNA
Source: RNAcentral